This is a long non-coding RNA of Cavia porcellus (domestic guinea pig), 7109 nucleotides long. RefSeq lists it as uncharacterized. The transcript has 2 exons. Lineage: Eukaryota; Metazoa; Chordata; Mammalia; Rodentia; Caviidae. The record is from RefSeq and is a predicted model, not a curated record.
GCACAGACCCUCUUUCCCUCCCCACAGUCUCCGAAGGAGGGACUCCCGAAUGGGAAGGGGCCUCUGAUCCGGAUGGGGGCUGGGAAGUAGUCCUUGUGGGGCCUGCAGGCUGUCAGAACAGAGCUGCCGUCCCACCCACGGCGUUGGACCCCCGCAGUAUCUGGGGGAGGUGACAGGGCUCUGAGUUUGCAUUGGGAAGAGGAAGACUUAUUUUAGUACCAAACUCUUGGGAGGCCACCUUCGUUCACACCGCACCCAAGGAAAAGCGCCUUGGUUUGAGAAGUGAUAUGCUGCCCAAAUUCUCCAUGCACAGGCAGAACUCUGGGUGCUGGGUCUUCCAACACCUCUCCCAAACUUACCCUUGAGAUUAGAGAGGGUGGGCUUCUCCUUUCCUCAACCAUUUUCAAUCCAAUUUUCCUGCAAGGAGACAACAGUCUGGGGUUGCAGGGUUCCUGGCCUCAUGCCUGCUGCCUAAUGCCCUGAAUGUUGAGACUCCUUCAAACCUCGAAACCUCCUUCAAACCUCCUUCAAACCCAUCUCUGGUUCCCUUGCCCAUCCAUACCAAGCCAUCACAGCAGGAAAGAGCAAAGAGACUGGAGGAGUGAGGCCAGGGAAGGCAAGGAGCACUGGUGUCUUUGCUGAAGGUCCCUUGCUUGGGCAGUCAACCAAGGUAUGUCGGAGGGGGGAAGCCUUCAGCCUUUUAUUUCCCCCUUGUCCACUGUAUCCAAUCAGGAAGGAAUCUGAGUUCCAGAAGCUGCUGGCUGUCCCCCAGGAGGUCCUUCUGCCCCCACCAAAUGUGGUUCUGUUAGGGGAAGAUCACCCACUGGGUGAGGUCAGGACCCCGCCCCAUCCUGCAUGCAUUAACAGCCUGGAAACUCUACAGUCUCCCUCACUGUGUCAGGGUACCCACCCCUGAGCCUUGGGAGUGCCACGGUUUGAGGCCACAGGUAGCAGUGGCCACAGGCCUCUAUGGCCUCUGGUGGCCCUCUAGAUCACACAUAGUCCCUCCUUAGGAAUGGGAUGGGUCCUGCGGCAGCCCACUGGCUGUCCCUAAACUAUACCCCUCUUCCUAGGGCUGGGUUUCCUUUGUCCCCACAUACCUUCCUUACAUUCUGGGCAGGGUCUUAACAGGAAAGGGCUAGGUUUUCCAGGCUCAUGUCCAGAUUUCCCCAGGUCUGUCACUGGCACUAGCAGCUAAUACGUGGAUGCUGAGCAGGGCUGGUGGGCUGGAGCAUUUGAAGUACGGGGGUAGAGUCUCCAGUUUUUCUUAGGAGGCUGACAAUAGUGGUGAGCAACAAGGCGAAUGAGCUCACAGGCUUCUGCCAGUGGUGCCAGCUCUGUUCAGCCAGCUUUCAGUGUGAUGGAUGGAGCCACCACACUAGGAGCCAGAGGGGAAAUAAUAGGAAUUCGAACUGUGAAGAAGCCUAUAGAUAGAGAGUAGGUCUAGAGGGCCACACUACCCUGAUCUCCCCAGCAGCACUAGCAGUGGCUGCCUGUGUCCCAUAGCAUCAUGGGUAAGUGCAGUAUAGGGUCUUCAAGGCUAGGGUUGCCCAGAGUAGGUCACAGGAGAUUCUGGGAAAGGGCCUCUAGGGCCCUUUGCAGCAGCACCCCUACACACACACAUGCACACGCACACACAGUCACACACACACAUACAAAUACACACACACUGGGCUGAAUGUGGAGCUUUCUGGAGCCUCUAGCUGGUGCCCAGAGUCAUUCUAGAGCUCUGACCAUGCUAUCCCAGCAGUGCUGGCAUUUUACUUCCCCUCUCCUCCCGUGGCUCCUCCUGCAGCCACCUCCUCUGGCACCAGCUAGUGCCCUUCUUCUUGGCUGAGCUGUGAUACUCAAGCAUCUGCUACUGUCAUGUCCUGUGAACCUGGCUGGGCAGGAGGAGCCUGCUGGUGUACUCCUUUACUCUGCAGGUUCACUGCCUGGCAGGGUUGACAAUGGGAUCCCCUUCCCACUGUCCAGAUGGGACAACAAUAGGGGGAAGCUGCAGUCAGUGGGGUGGCUCUGACCCUGGAGCCUCAGGGCUGAAGGGACUCCCUAGGGUUGUCUAAGGCCUGGGGUGGGUGUGGCCAGCUGUGCUGGGGGAGGGGCAUCAGACAUGAAUGUCUGCAUGUCUGUGUGUGUGGUCUGCAUGUGUGCCUGUCUCUGUACAUCUGCCUGGAUGUGGGGUGAGGUGGACCUAGUGCUGGAGGCUGCCCAGGGCCUUGGGAACCAAACAAGUUGGAUCCUCCCAUAAGGAGAUGGGGGUUGGAGGCUGAGGAUCAGGGGUCCUACUCAGAGAAGUAUGGCUAUCAGCACUGAAAGGAAGGGGCCCCAAGGCCUCUCUGGCCACUGAGCUGAGAUCCAGGUCUGUCUAAAGAUGGGGCCAGUUCAUGAGUCUAGGGUCAGUUCUCUGCCCUUGGAAUUCCUCAGCCAGACCUGACCCAGGCUGGCAGCUACCCACUCCCAGAAGAGGUGGAGUAGAGGAGCAACCUUCUGCGGUAACUAUGGGGCUGACCUGCCUGUUGCUUACACACUGUCCUCCCUGCUAUCUACCUAUUUCUGUCCUUCAGCCUGGACUGGACCCCAGCCUCUAGGGGAGGCCUGCAACGGCUUCUGGGUAGUUCGCCUUGGUGGAUCUGGGUGGGGGCUUGGCUUGGCUCAGCUCCGGGCUGGGGGUGGUGGGACCUCCCAGGCGCUGCCUGGGCACAGACCUCCCAGGCUCCCACCAGCCAAGCCUUGGCGGCUGCAGGAGCUACAAGGCUGGGACCAAUUACAGAAUCCUGCAGGGCCUGGACUCUCCCGUUCCCAAAGAGUAGGGUGGGUGGGGGGAGUCUCCAUCAGCUGCAGCUCCAGGUGGAGGAGCACUCUAGUCUCCUGAGACCUUGGCUUCAGAGCUAGCUGCCUGGUUCAGACACUACCUCAGCUUCAGGCCUGGGUGGGGGAAGUGAGUCUGGGCCUUCCUUGAUCUCCUGCCUUCUAUGCCUUCAGGAAGGACACUGGAUACCUCAGAACCAGGUGGCCCUGCAUGUCUCUCAGCCAGUGACAGAUCUGAUCCUGGCCCGAGUACAGUCUUCAGGCCCUGUGUCCUUUUACUAUCAGUUCUCCUGUGUACUGGGCUUCUGAUUCUGCCUGUAAUCUUGGAAUAGUGGACAGGCAUACAUGGUAUAAGGGUGUGAACAGGCAUGAAUGGGUACAAUGAUUUCAGAUGUUAGGUUUGGGGGCUGGGAAUUUAGCUCAGCGGCAUAAGUACCUGCCUUGCAAGCAGGCGGUCGUGAGUUCGAUCCCCGGUACCGAUAAAAAUGAAAAAGACAAAAAAAAAAAAAAAAAAAAAAAAAAAAGAUGUUAGGUUUGGGAUCAGGGUUCACAUGUACAAUUCACUGCAGUCGUGUGGACCCAAGAGUACUGUGUAGAAAAAGAUGUUGGUUUGGGCUCUGAUUUGGGGGAGGGGAUGAGGUACAGCUAUGCAGAGGCUUGCUGAUGGGGGUCCUCCUGUGCAAUGAUAGUGGGGCUGUUUUAGGUCAAGGGUGAUGCUGAGGGUGUUGCAUGGGGUCACAUCUACCCUGGGUGUUCAAGGGCCAGCAAGACUGGGCAGAGAUUCCCUGAGUUGAGGGCAUAGGAUUGUAAGGUGGAGAACAGAUCUGUGUUUGUGACUGCAGCGUGACUGUGAAUGAUGGCAUAUGUGCUGUGGCCAGUACGUGCAGAGAAGUGGCUUCUGGGGGUACCCCUGGGGCCCAGAUAAUAUUUCAAAGGCUGUUUUCUGAUUCAGGGUAUUGUGCUAUCCAUGCGGACUUGGGACCCUGAAUGUUUAUCACAGGCUGUGCUUAUUUCUAGGAGCACUGAAGGAGAGCUGGGUGUCAGGAAUGCUGGGCUGUGAUACUGAUGUCCAGAGAGCUAGGAGCAACAGGAGGAAAGCAAGCAACAGCAGGGCCAGCUUUCAUGCCCUGCCCAUACAUAGCAGGCCACUCUCACUGCAUCUGUGGCCACUGCCUGUCUAACCGCCAAGAGAGGCCUGGAUGGAGCUCUGUGAUGGGAACCUGCAGCCCCCAAAGUGGCCGGGAGGGCCUGAUGGAUUGGGGCUGCACCCUCCUAUGGCAGGGAGGUAGAGACCUGAGGAGGUACAGGAUGCUCCCCACUGCAUGGUGAUGGGAAAUGGGGGGUGGUUCGUGUGAGUUUGGCAGCAUGAGCCUUCCCAUCACUGCCCUGCUUCAGCUAGAGGGGAAGCACAGAUGCUAGUCACUGGGGUCAUGGCCAGCUUUGGGGUGGGGGCUGGGGGACACAAAUAGAAAAAUAAAUGGCCUCAGCUUCCGCUGUUUCCUGGACUCAGGAUGAAGGAGGGGAGGGCUUUGGGCCAAAGGUACAGCUGGCCCAGUGGGGUUGACCCUGGGGGUAUCCCCAGAUCCUGUGAAGGCCCUAGUAGCCCCUUCAGACUUCCAAGCCAGGGCUUCUCCCCCAGAGUCCCCAGGACAGGGCCAUGCUACUCACUAAGGGCUACUGAGGGUGGAUUCACAGCUUUUCUCUUGACAAGACACCCAAUAUAGAAAAUCCCCUAUAGGAGGAUGCAAAAACCCUAAGGAAAAUUGGGGCUUAGCUCCAGGAAAGGACAAAGCAAUGGGGCUUCUGCUGGUGUUCCUGGUAGAGUGAACCACGAAGGAGCCCCUGCCUGUGCAUCCUGGGAGCUGGAGGAGGCCCCUAGUAGCAGCCAGGCAGAAAGUGAGUGAAGUGCCCCUUGGGAACUCUGGCCCCUACCUGCAUGCCAGGCUGUUGUGCUCCCAGUCUCUAGGGACUAGGGGGUGUGGGGAAGGAUGUAGGUACCCUCCUUUCCAUUGCACAGGGCCCAGGUAGAGUUUGGGGAGUGGGCAGUGCCCUGUUUCCAUGGUCACCCCAAGGUAGGAUCCACUGGUUCUCAUAUGUUGUCACUUGUGGUACAGUGCUUGAGCACAGGAGGAUUUGGAGGCCUUGGCAGUUAUCUGGGAAAGCUCUGCAGGGGAGGAAGUUCAGAAAGGUUCAGGUCCCGGGUGGGGUCUGAGGUGGGUGUGACCGCUCGGAGCUAGUGCCCCCAAGGUCAGGAGCUCAUACGGAGUCUGAGAAUGAACAUCUCUAAGACUGGGGGAGUGUUGGAGCUGGUUGGCGCUACUACCCUGCAAGCGAGGGCUCUUCGGCACUGACCAUAUUCUCACUCCAGUGGCUUCAUGGUCACAGCUAGGCAGUAUAGUCCCUGCUGGGAACCCACAGAACUUCCCUAGGGAUGGGAAGCCAAGUUUAAGCAGGUCUGUGGCUCACUAUUGCCAUCUACAGGCUGCUUCUCCUCAUAUCACUGGGGCCAGUCAGCCUCAGCCCGCUCCAGCCUGCCUCCUCUGCCACCCUACCAGUCCAGUCCACUCCCUUCCUCCCAUUGGCUUGCUCCUGUUUUGGGUCAGGCCACCACACCAUUGCCCACACCUGUCUGACCUGGAUGCACUGAGCAGUCCCACAGGCUGUGCUGACUCAGGAUACCACCCCGAUGCAGGAAGCCUGCUAGCCUCCUAGUCUUCAUUCUUAGGGGGUCACAGGAGCCUGGUUUCUCUUUGUCGGCAGCCUUUGUGGGCUUUAGAGGAGACCCAGUGAGACACGGGAGCCUCCUUACAAACUGUCUCUUGUGGGCCUCCCAGGGCCCUGAGAAGAAAGGGCCACCUGGCAUCUUAUGGAGGAGGAAAAUGGACACAGGGCAGAUGGUCCUGGACUUCUCCUCUAGCUUUGCAAAGCAGAGUCCUGGUUCUCAGCUGGUGGAAUCUGCUUGACUACCUGUCUCAGGGCACAGAUUACCUUGGGUUGGCACAGAUUGGCAAGGAGGAAACCAGUUAUACCAACACACAUAUGAAGUGUUCUCCAAAAUUUCUGAUUCAUUGAUUGAUUGAGUCAGUGAUUAAGUUUUUGGGUUUUUGAUACAGCGUCUCACUAUGUUGUCCAGGGUGGCCUUGGAUUCACUAUGUAGGCCAGGCUGGCCUCAAAUCCACAGUGAUUCUCCUGCCUCUGCCUCUUCAGUUCUGGGAUCACAGGCAUGCACCAUCACACCUGGCUCUCAAAUUUGUAAUUCAGAAGUCAAGCCUUGCUUUACUAACUCAAUGAAAAACAAUAUGUGUUACUGGGUGGAAUGCCCACUGCACUUGCCAGCAGCAGGGGACAUGUAGGGUGAAGUGAUGCUCAAAGCAUCAGCCCCAGGCCCUGCUGACCACACAUGGUACAUGGGCUUGUUCAUAAGUGAAGGUGGGAUACAUUUCUGCGGGCUGUCUGGAAAGAUGUUGUCUUCUUUCCCAUCAGGGUGAGACCCUGUACUUCUCUCCCACUUUGCCCAGGCCUGUCCCUGCUGUGCAUCUGCUUCUCUCCCUUCCCUUAGCCUAGCUAAUAUUGUUGGCUGGAGACAUACUCCAGGCUACCCUGCCACCUUUCCACAUGGGAAUACCAUCUGCCCUGGAAUGCUACCUCUAGCUUUCCUGAGCCUCUUGACUUGGUCUUAGUAUACCCUGGUUGGCCUGUGGCCCAUACCUCUGAUCUACACAAAGGAUAGAAUCCCAGAACUCUGCUUGAUGGGGUCCUGCCAACACAGGAUUUCAGGAGUCACCACACAAGGGCAUCAGGCAUUCCUCACGAAGUUUUCUUACCAUAAACUUGAGUCAUCUGGAGGAAAAUGGGUGCACCUUAGGGCCACAAUGCUAAAUGAAGUAAAUCAGACACACAAACUUACAUAUUACAUGGCUUUACUUGUAUGAAAAAAAUCAAUAUAUAAAAAGAGUGCGAAAUAAAGGUGAUAAUUGGAAAAGAGAGAAAAAAUUACUGUAAUUCAGCAUGGACAGUAUAUCUAAUAGUGUGCCUUGAUUUAGUAUAAUUGUUUUAUGUGCUUGAUUUUUAUUUGCCAGUUAGCCUGGUUGUUAAUUUGUAUGUAUAAUUAACUUUAUGAGGACUUAUAAAUGAAUCUGAUUGUGGCAGAAAAAAUGGGGGUAUGGAAGGGAAGGGGAAAAAGAACUUCGAUGUGUUAGGUACAUGUACCAAUUCCCUACAAUGAAUAUAAUCAAUAUUUACUGCAAACAUGUACUAAUAUAAAUUAAAAAAAUAAAUUACAGCAUCAAAACCAAAGAAAA